AGUUGAUCAUGGCUCAGGAUGAACGCCAGCGACAGGCCUAACACAUGCAAGUCGAGGGCAGCGCGGAGUAGCAAUACUUGGCGGCGACCGGCGCACGGGUGAGUAACACGUAUGCAACCAACCCAUAACAGGGGGAUAACCCGGAGAAAUCCGGACUAAUACCGCAUAAGACCACGAUAUCGCAUGAUAUAGAGGUCAAAUAUUUAUAGGUUAUGGACGGGCAUGCGUCUGAUUAGCUGGUUGGCGGGGUAACGGCCCACCAAGGCAUCGAUCAGUAGGGGUUCUGAGAGGAAGGUCCCCCACAUUGGAACUGAGACACGGUCCAAACUCCUACGGGAGGCAGCAGUGAGGAAUAUUGGUCAAUGGGCGAAAGCCUGAACCAGCCAUGUCGCGUGAAGGAAUGAAGGUCCUAUGGAUUGUAAACUUCUUUUGCAGGAGGGUAAAGUGAGCUACGUGUAGUUCAUUGCAAGUACCCUGCGAAUAAGCAUCGGCUAACUCCGUGCCAGCCGCAGC
RNAcentral lists this ribosomal RNA (513 nucleotides) under uncultured bacterium. RNAcentral describes it as "bacterial SSU rRNA". It matches the Rfam family "Bacterial small subunit ribosomal RNA", at positions 10 to 518 of the family's 1533-position model. The record is from RNAcentral.